Molecule: unclassified non-coding RNA, 38 nt
Filed under: Cyanidioschyzon merolae strain 10D
Lineage: Eukaryota; Rhodophyta; Bangiophyceae; Cyanidiales; Cyanidiaceae
Description: intervening sequence
Source: RNAcentral
AUCGCACCGCGAAUUGAGCAUUCGACGCGCCGUGCGCA